CCUACGGGGGGCAGCAGUGGGGAAUAUUGGACAAUGGGGGGAACCCUGACCCAGCCAUGCCGCGUGUGUGAAGAAGGCCCUCGGGUUGUAAAGCACUUUCAGUGAGGAAGAACGCCUGGUGGUUAAUACCCAUCAGGAAAGACAUCACUCACAGAAGAAGCACCGGCUAACUCCGUGCCAGCAGCCGCGGUAAUACGGAGGGUGCGAGCGUUAAUCGGAAUUACUGGGCGUAAAGCGCGCGUAGGUGGCUUGAUAAGCCGGUUGUGAAAGCCCCGGGCUCAACCUGGGAACGGCAUCCGGAACUGUCAAGCUAGAGUGCAGGAGAGGAAGGUAGAAUUCCCGGUGUAGCGGUGAAAUGCGUAGAGAUCGGGAGGAAUACCAGUGGCGAAGGCGGCCUUCUGGACUGACACUGACACUGAGGUGCGAAAGCGUGGGUAGCAAACAGGAUUAGAUACCCUAGUAGUC
Molecule: ribosomal RNA, 465 nt
Filed under: Vreelandella stevensii
Lineage: Bacteria; Pseudomonadati; Pseudomonadota; Gammaproteobacteria; Oceanospirillales; Halomonadaceae
Description: partial 16S ribosomal RNA
Rfam family: Bacterial small subunit ribosomal RNA
Source: RNAcentral